CUUUGUUUGGUUAUCUGGCUUGGCUGCAUCGACUUCAAGUGCAGAUGUGCAGCUUCCUUUGCCCCUUGGUGCUGACAAUGAUCCCAGGCAUCCUGGCCUCUGCUACUCCGGUGCCUCCCUGGGGAAGGAAAUCAGUUUUUUUUCACAGUUUUUCUUGCUCCAUUUCAGGACUGAGUGCCUUUAUACCAGCUGGUUAACCCACGUUGUAAGCAGAGUAUGUUUCCUCCCAAAGGAGCAGACUUUCCAGCACCCAAGGCCUUCAACGCUGAGAAUCUUCAUCCUUAAGUUUGUUUGCUGUGGAAGAAGACCCCUACUGGUCUCCCCAGGUAUUGCAGCCCUCCUCUACCAGCCACUGCAAAUGCCCACCAGAAAGUGAGAGAGGGUCUCCAUUCGUGUUCAUGACGUUCAGGGUGAAGCCAGUGGAUUCCCAAGUAUGCGGAAUAUGCAUGUGGCUUAACAGCCUGAAAUAAACAGAUUGUGCUGAAAUUCUAAUCCUGGAGU
Molecule: long non-coding RNA, 501 nt
Filed under: Sus scrofa (pig)
Lineage: Eukaryota; Metazoa; Chordata; Mammalia; Artiodactyla; Suidae
Description: lncRNA (ENSSSCG00070009794.1)
Source: RNAcentral